UGGCUCAGAGUGAACGCUGGCGGUGUGCUUAACACAUGCAAGUCGAACGAGGUGUUUCGCUGUAGCAAUUCAGCGAAAUAUUUAGUGGCAAACGGGUGAGUAACACGUAGGGAAUCUUCCUUUAAAAGGAGAAUAACCCAUCGAAAGAUGGGCUAAUGCUCCAUGAGACCACAGUCUGUCAUAGACAGACAGAGGUUAAAGGUGGCGCAAGUCAUCGUUUAGAGACGACCCUGCGGCCUAUCAGCUAGUUGGUGAGGUAACGGCCCACCAAGGCGACGACGGGUAGCCGGCCUAAAAGGGCGAUCGGCCACACUGGCACUGAGACACGGGCCAGACUCCUACGGGAGGCAGCAGUGGGGAAUUUUGGACAAUGGGGGAAACCCUGCUCCAGCGACACCGCGUGGAGGAUGAAGGUCUUCGGAUUGUAAACUCCUUUUGGAGGGGAAGAAUUGACCGUUUAAUACACGGUUUUGACGGUACCCUCAGAAAAAGCCACGGCUAACUACGUGCCAGCAGCCGCGGUAAUACGUAGGUGGCGAGCGUUACUCGGAAUCACUAGGCGUAAAGCGCAUGUAGGCGGUUGGUUAAGUCCGUUGUGAAAUCUCCACGCUUAACGUGGAGCGGUCAAUGGAAACUAGCCAGCUUGAGUUUGGGAGGGGUGACUGGAAUUCCCGGUGUAGCGGUGAAAUGCGUAGAGAUCGGGAGGAACACCAAUGGCGAAGGCAGGUCACUGGACCAAUACUGACGCUGAGAUGCGAAAGCUAGGGGAGCAAACAGGAUUAGAUACCCUGGUAGUCCUAGCUGUAAACGAUGUUCACUAGGUGUGGGUGGUAUCGACCCCUUCCGCGCCGACGCUAACGCAUUAAGUGAACCGCCUGGGGAGUACGGCCGCAAGGUUGAAACUCAAAGGAAUUGACGGGGGCCCGCACAAGCGGUGGAGUAUGUGGUUUAAUUCGACACAACACGAAAAACCUUACCUGGGCUUGAAGAGCAGGUGGUAAAACCUAGAAAUAGGGAUGACCCGUAAGGGAGCCUGUAGAGGUGCUGCAUGGUUGUCGUCAGCUCGUGUCGUGAGAUGUUGGGUUAAGUCCCGCAACGAGCGCAACCCUUAUCUCAUGUUGCUACCCUCGUAAGAGGCGCACUCUUGAGAAACUGCCGGUGAUAAACCGGAGGAAGGUGGGGACGACGUCAAAUCCUCAUGGCCUUUAUGUCCAGGGCUACACACGUACUACAAUGGCUGGCACAGAGGGAUGCAAUACCGCAAGGUGGAGCCAACCCCUAAAACCAGCCCCAGUUCAGAUUGUGGGCUGCAACUCGCCCACAUGAAGGCGGAAUCGCUAGUAAUCGCGAAUCAGAAGGUCGCGGUGAAUACGUUCCCGGGCCUUGUACACACCGCCCGUCACACCACGAAAGUCAGUUGCAACAGAAGCGGCCCGCAAGGGCAACCAAGUUGUGAUUGGUGAUUGGGGUGAAGUCGAAACAAGCUA
RNAcentral lists this ribosomal RNA (1487 nucleotides) under metagenome. RNAcentral describes it as "bacterial SSU rRNA". It matches the Rfam family "Bacterial small subunit ribosomal RNA". The record is from RNAcentral.